UAGACCCUGCUGUGUUCGUGAUAAACCGGUUAAUUUUGGCCCAACACCAAAAUAUAGGGAGCCUGGACUCUGGGUGUGGCUUGCAGGCCCUCGAUGGGAGGGAAGCAUAAAGCAUCCAGGAGGGCACCCACCUGCGUGGGACGCAGGUUCAAAAUAACCGGUUACACACGACUCGGUGGGGCUUUU
Molecule: non-coding RNA, 186 nt
Filed under: Syntrophothermus lipocalidus
Lineage: Bacteria; Bacillati; Bacillota; Clostridia; Eubacteriales; Syntrophomonadaceae
Also listed under: 2 other names
Description: 6S RNA
Rfam family: 6S / SsrS RNA
About the family: E. coli 6S RNA was the first non coding RNA to be sequenced, but its function was unknown until recently. It consists of 184 nucleotides that fold into an extended hairpin structure with a large single-stranded internal bulge. The 6S RNA specifically associates with RNA polymerase holoenzyme containing the sigma70 specificity factor.
Source: RNAcentral